CCCUUAGAUGUUCUGGGCCGCACGCGCGCUACACUGACGAAUGCAACGAGCUUAUAACCUUGGCCGAAAGGUCUGGGUAAUCUCCAAAUUUCGUCGUGAUGGGGAUAGAUUAUUGCAAUUAUUAAUCUUCAACGAGGAAUGCCUAGUAAGCGCAAGUCAUCAGCUUGCGUUGAUUACGUCCCUGCCCUUUGUACACACCGCCCGUCGCUCCUACCGAUUGAAUGGUCCGGUGAAGCGUUCGGACCGUGGCCUUUGGACGGUUCGCCGUCUGUUGGCUGCGGGAAGUUCGUUAAACCUUGUCAUUUAGAGGAAGGAGAANUCGUAACA
Molecule: ribosomal RNA, 327 nt
Filed under: uncultured eukaryote
Lineage: Eukaryota
Description: partial 18S ribosomal RNA
Rfam family: Eukaryotic small subunit ribosomal RNA
Source: RNAcentral